RNAcentral lists this ribosomal RNA (429 nucleotides) under uncultured bacterium. RNAcentral's name for it is "bacterial SSU rRNA". It matches the Rfam family "Bacterial small subunit ribosomal RNA", at positions 29 to 506 of the family's 1533-position model. The record is from RNAcentral.
ACGAACGCUGGCGGCAGGCUUAACACAUGCAAGUCGAGCGCCCCGCAAGGGGAGCGGCGGACGGGUGAGUAACGCGUGGGAACGUGCCCUCUUCUACGGAAUAGCCCAGGGAAACUUGGAUUAAUGCCGUAUACGCCCUUCGGGGGAAAGAUUUAUCGGAGGAGGAUCGGCCCGCGUUGGAUUAGGUAGUUGGUGAGGUAACGGCUCACCAAGCCGACGAUCCAUAGCUGGUUUGAGAGGAUGAUCAGCCACACUGGGACUGAGACACGGCCCAGACUCCUACGGGAGGCAGCAGUGGGGAAUCUUGGACAAUGGGGGAAACCCUGAUCCAGCCAUGCCGCGUGAUCGAUGAAGGCCUUAGGGUUGUAAAGAUCUUUCAGCUGGGAAGAUAAUGACUGUACCAGCAGAAGAAGCCCCGGCUAACUCCGU